AGUGUUGAUACUCACUCCACCUUCCAGCACGUUCACCAAGCUGCUCAUCAGCUGCCCGUCCUGCGUUGAUCAGCUAUGUCGUCUGCAUCGGCAAUCUGUCGAUGAUUUUGGAUUUCGAUGGCACGUUGGUGGCAGCCGGUGCCGGGCUUGGCGAGAAGGACGGGCAGCUGGUGAGAAGCUUGUUGAACAUGUCUAUGGGUGUGAUGUAUGAUGCU
Non-coding RNA from Marchantia polymorpha subsp. ruderalis, 215 nucleotides. NCBI's taxonomy places the organism in Eukaryota, Viridiplantae, Streptophyta, Marchantiopsida, Marchantiales, Marchantiaceae. The record is from the annotation of a GenBank genome assembly.